RNAcentral lists this long non-coding RNA (458 nucleotides) under Calidris pugnax (ruff). RNAcentral describes it as "lncRNA (ENSCPUG00000014983.1)". Lineage: Eukaryota; Metazoa; Chordata; Aves; Charadriiformes; Scolopacidae. The record is from RNAcentral.
GUACUCCGGGCAAGCAGCAACCCUGUGAGCGACGUGGAGGCCUGGCCAUAUAAAUGCAUCUCUGACAGCUUCCUGUUGCUCCCUAAUUUGAGCUUUGGCAGGCCACCAGAGGAAGUGAAUCCCUGAGACUCUCCUGAUGCAAGACGAGCAAAGAAAAGGAAGCAGGCAAGGAGGGAAAAAGCAAUGGCAACAAAUACUGGUGAUCUCUUACAUGGGCAAGAUUGCAAAAUAGGAAGAGACCAAGGAGAAAGACAAACCACUUCUUUAAAGGUCAUCGCCUGUUGUCUCCAAAAAGAUGCUGAAGAACUGGAAAAAGUCCAAAGAGGACAACAAGCAUGGUUGAAGACUUGGAAUAUAGUCCCAGGAAGGAACUAGGUAGGCUCUGAUGCUUUAGCCUGCAUAAGGGGUAGAUACCAGCCAUUUGCUGUCUCAUCCCAUGCAGGAGCCUGGUUAAUCAA